AAUUUGAUGGUUAACACAUAUGACAACCCCUAGAGCACACCAGACUAGCAGAGAACGCAUACUCUGAAGGAGGCAGAGGCAUGCCUGCUUGAGAUCCAACGGUCCCACGUGCAAGUUUCCUCUGAUAGGGCCUGGGUACUGCUGCCACGGUGAGAAUGGGGGAUCCACCAACAGUCAGAGAAGCUUUGCAGUCGAGAUAAUUGUUUAGCAGGCGGAGCAGUUUCUGUUAGACACUAAGAACUGCUAUAAGA
Non-coding RNA from Mastomys coucha (southern multimammate mouse), 251 nucleotides. The record is from RefSeq and is a predicted model, not a curated record. NCBI's taxonomy places the organism in Eukaryota, Metazoa, Chordata, Mammalia, Rodentia, Muridae.